GAAACCACCGUCGUCAUGUCUGACCAGGAGGCAAAACCUUUAACUGAGGACUUGGGGGAUAAGAAGGAAGGUGAAUAUAUUAAACUCAAAGUCAUUGGACAGGAUAGCAGUGAGAUUCACUUCAAAGUGAAAAUGACAACGCAUCUCAAGAAACUCAAAGAAUCAUACUGUCAAAGACGGGGGUUCCAAUGAAUUCACUCAGGUUUCUCUUUGAGAGUCAGAGAAUUGCUGAUAAUCAUACUCCAAAAGAACUGGGAAUGGAGGAAGAAGAUGUGAUUGAAGUUUAUCAGGAACAAACGGGGGGUCAUUCAACAGUUUAGUUUUAAAAUUUGAGGGUCUGGACCAAAAGAAGAGGAAUAUCAGGUUGAAGUCAAGAUGACAGAUAAGGUGAGAGUAAUGACUAACUCCAAAGAUGGCUUCACCGAAGAAAAGGCAUUUUAAGAUUUUUUAAAAAUCAUGUCAGAAGAUCCCAGAAAAGUUCUAAUUUUCAUUAGCAAUUAAUAAAGCUAUACAUGCAGAAAUGAAUACAACAGAACACUGCUCUUUUUGAUUUUAUUUGUACUUUUUGGCCUGGGAUAUGGGUUUUAAAUGGACAUUGUCUGUACCAGCUUCAUUAAAAUAAAUAAUAUUUGUAAAAA
This is an RNA transcript of Macaca mulatta (Rhesus monkey), 638 nucleotides long. It is a transcript of the gene named small ubiquitin-related modifier 1 pseudogene, with no coding region annotated. The record is from RefSeq and is a predicted model, not a curated record. Lineage: Eukaryota; Metazoa; Chordata; Mammalia; Primates; Cercopithecidae.